CAGCCGCCGCGGUAAUACGAAGGGUGCAAGCGUUACUCGGAAUUACUGGGCGUAAAGCGUGCGUAGGUGGUGGUUUAAGUCCGUUGUGAAAGCCCUGGGCUCAACCUGGGAAUUGCAGUGGAUACUGGGUCACUGGAGUGUGGUAGAGGAUAGUGGAAUUUCCGGUGUAGCAGUGAAAUGCGUGGAGAUCGGAAGGAACAUCUGUGGCGAAGGCGACUAUCUGGGCCAACACUGACACUGAGGCACGAAAGCGUGGGGAGCAAACAGGAUUAGAUACACCCGUAGUCCCUGUCUCUUAUAC
This 301-nucleotide ribosomal RNA is filed under the name uncultured bacterium. RNAcentral's name for it is "partial 16S ribosomal RNA". It matches the Rfam family "Bacterial small subunit ribosomal RNA", at positions 509 to 807 of the family's 1533-position model. The record is from RNAcentral.